GAAAGUAAGCAAGGGCAGACGGUGGAUGCCUUGGCUCUCGGAGGCGACGAAGGACGUGAUAAGCUGCGAAAAGCCCGGGGGAGGCGCAAAUAGCCCUUGAUCCCGGGAUAUCCGAAUGGGGCAACCCGGCAGGCUGAAGGCCUGUCAUCCCGUAAGGGAGGCGAACGUGGGGAACUGAAACAUCUAAGUACCCAUAGGAGGAGAAAAUAAACAAUGAUUCCGUAAGUAGUGGCGAGCGAACACGGAAGAGCCCAAACCCAUGUCGUCUAGGCGACACGGGGGUUGUAGGACCACGACGUGGCAAGAUAGAGUCAAGUGGAACGCCUUGGAAAAGGCGGUCAUAGAGGGUGAAAACCCCGUACACGACUGACGAUUGAAGCCUAGUGGCAUCCUGAGUAGCGCGGGGCACGAGAAAUCUUGCGUGAAACAGCGGGGCCCAUCCCGUAAGGCUAAAUACUCCCGAGAGACCGAUAGCGAACCAGUACCGUGAGGGAAAGGUGAAAAGAACCCCGAGCAGGGGAGUGAAAUAGACCCUGAACCCGUCUGCCUACAAGCGGUCGGAGCGUCGUAAUGACGUGACGGCGUGCCUUUUGCAUAAUGAACCUACGAGUUACCUUCCCCGGCAAGGUUAAGUUCUUGAGGAACGGAGCCGAAGCGAAAGCGAGUCUGAACAGGGCGCCAAGUCGGGGGGGGUAGACGCGAAACCGAGUGAUCUACCCUUGGCCAGGUUGAAGGUUGGGUAACACCAACUGGAGGACCGGAUGGGUAAGCGUUGAAAAGCUUUCCAAUGAGCUGAGGGUAGGGGUGAAAGGCUAAUCAAACUCGGAGAUAGCUCGUACUCCCCGAAAUGCAUUUAGGUGCAGCCUCUUUAUAGUAUAUCGUGAGGUAGAGCGACUGAUUGGAUGCGAGGGCUUCACCGCCUAUCAAGUCCAGAUAAACUCCGAAUGCGCGAUAUAUAUUUACAGGGAGUGAGGGCGCGGGUGCUAAGGUCCGUGUCCGAGAGGAGAAGAAUCCAGACCACCGGCUAAGGCCCCCAAAUGAUCGUCAAGUUGAACUAACGAGGUCGGAUCGCAGAGACAGCUAGGAUGUUGGCUUGGAAGCAGCCAUUCAUUUAAAGAGUGCGUAACAGCUCACUAGUCGAGCGAUCUGGCGUGGAUAAUAAUCGGGCAUAAACGAUCUGCCGAAGCCGUGGAUGUCGCAAGACAUGGUAGGGGAGCAUUCCAUGCCGCGUCGAAGAUGAGGGAUGACCCUUGUUGGAGCGCAUGGAAAAGCAAAUGUAGGUAUGAGUAACGAUAAGGGGGGCGAGAAACCCCCCCGCCGAAAGACCAAGGUUUCCUGAUCAACGCUAAUCGGAUCAGGGUGAGUCGGGACCUAAGGCAAAGCCGAACGGCGCCGCCGAUGGAAGAAUGGGUUAAUAUUCCCAUACUGCCUCAUGGAGUGACGUGGAGACGGAGAAGUGACAGUCCUGCCGGCUGACGGAAUAGCCGGUUGAAGGGUGUAGAUAUUGAUUCCCGUAGGCAAAUCCGCGGGGAGAGUCGAACCUGAGAGUAUACGGAGCGCUUGCGCAACGUAAUAUGGACGUAACCAUGCUCCCGAGAAAAUCCGCUAAACUUAUCCAUGCGGCACCCGUACCGUAAACGGACACACGUGGUCGGGUUGAGAAUACUGAGGCGCUCGAGUGAUUCACGGUUAAGGAACUAGGCAAAUUGACCCUGUAACUUCGGGAUAAAGGGUCCUCGUCGUAAGGCGAGGCGCAGAGAAUAGGUCCAGGCAACUGUUUAACAAAAACACAUGGCUGUGCUAAAUGGAAACAUGAUGUAUACAGCCUGACACCUGCCCGGUGCCGGAAGGUUAAGAGGAGAUGUCAUCCGCGAGGAGAAGCGUUGAAUUGAAGCCCCGGUAAACGGCGGCCGUAACUAUAACGGUCCUAAGGUAGCGAAAUUCCUUGUCGGGUAAGUUC
This 1960-nucleotide ribosomal RNA is filed under the name human gut metagenome. Its description in RNAcentral is "bacterial LSU rRNA". It matches the Rfam family "Bacterial large subunit ribosomal RNA", at positions 1 to 1983 of the family's 2925-position model. The record is from RNAcentral.